This 437-nucleotide ribosomal RNA is filed under the name uncultured bacterium. Its description in RNAcentral is "bacterial SSU rRNA". It matches the Rfam family "Bacterial small subunit ribosomal RNA", at positions 29 to 513 of the family's 1533-position model. The record is from RNAcentral.
AACGAACGCUGGCGGCAGGCUUAACACAUGCAAGUCGAACGCCCCGCAAGGGGAGUGGCAGACGGGUGAGUAACGCGUGGGAAUCUACCCAGUUCUUCGGAAUAACUGAGGGAAACUUCAGCUAAUACCGGAUACGCCCUACGGGGGAAAGAUUUAUCGGAAUUGGAUGAGCCCGCGUAAGAUUAGCUAGUUGGUGAGGUAAUGGCUCACCAAGGCGACGAUCUUUAGCUGGUCUGAGAGGAUGAUCAGCCACACUGGGACUGAGACACGGCCCAGACUCCUACGGGAGGCAGCAGUGGGGAAUAUUGGACAAUGGGCGCAAGCCUGAUCCAGCCAUGCCGCGUGAGUGAUGAAGGCCUUAGGGUUGUAAAGCUCUUUCAGUAGGGAAGAUAAUGACGGUACCUACAGAAGAAGCCCCGGCUAACUUCGUGCCAGCA